GAGCGCAACCCUUGUCUCGUGUUGCCAGCACGUUGUGGUGGGGACUCGCGGGAGACUGCCGGGGUCAACUCGGAGGAAGGUGGGGAUGACGUCAAAUCAUCAUGCCCCUUAUGUCUUGGGCUUCACGCAUGCUACAAUGGCCGGUACAGAGGGCUGCGAUACCGUGAGGUGGAGCGAAUCCCUUAAAGCCGGUCUCAGUUCGGAUCGGUGUCUGCAACUCGACACCGUGAAGUUGGAGUCGCUAGUAAUCGCAGAUCAGCAACGCUGCGGUGAAUACGUUCUCGGGUCGACGCGGCCG
RNAcentral lists this ribosomal RNA (298 nucleotides) under uncultured Actinomyces sp. RNAcentral's name for it is "partial 16S ribosomal RNA". It matches the Rfam family "Bacterial small subunit ribosomal RNA", at positions 1094 to 1380 of the family's 1533-position model. The record is from RNAcentral. Lineage: Bacteria; Bacillati; Actinomycetota; Actinomycetes; Actinomycetales; Actinomycetaceae.